GCUGGAUGUAGUGGCAUGCACCUGUAGUCCCAGCUACUUGGGAAGCUGAAGUGGGAAGAUUGCUUGAGCCCAGGAGUUCAAAAUGGCAGUGGGUUUGAUUGUACCACUGCCCUCCAGCCUGGGCAACAGAGCAAGACCCUGUUUCUU
Molecule: small RNA, 147 nt
Filed under: Callithrix jacchus (white-tufted-ear marmoset)
Lineage: Eukaryota; Metazoa; Chordata; Mammalia; Primates; Cebidae
Description: Metazoan signal recognition particle RNA (ENSCJAG00000071435.1)
Source: Rfam by way of RNAcentral